This 500-nucleotide long non-coding RNA is filed under the name Equus asinus (donkey). RNAcentral's name for it is "lncRNA (ENSEASG00005033218.1)". Lineage: Eukaryota; Metazoa; Chordata; Mammalia; Perissodactyla; Equidae. The record is from RNAcentral.
CAUUCAGGUUCCCUGGAAAACGACCCCUGCCUGGAAGCCGGGCUCCUCGGCCGCGGGGCAACGGUUCUCUGUGAAUCCCUGAGCUCUGCGUCGAUGGAAGCGCAUGCUUUCUCUGAGAGGUCAGAACUAGGCGUGGUGAAGUGGACGCUGUGCUGGGCCUUGAAGAGGACGGCCUGGACCAAACGUGUGUGCGCGUUGCAGUCACACGGAGGGCUUGUGCAAACGUAGAGCUGCUGGUGUGUUAGGUCUGUGAUGGGCCCUGAGAAUUUGCAUUUAAAACAAAUUCACGGAGGCUGCUGAAGCUCCCUCUGAGGACCAUGGGCCUCCCCGGUGGAAGACCUGGGGCUGAAUCCCAGAUUCCUUGCUUUACUAGCUGUGACUGAGGGAAUUUAGUUAUCUGAGUCUCGGCUCCUUCUCUGUAAACUGAACUGUAAACUCCCUGUUUAUCCAUUUUGUUAGACUUGUGUGAAAAGGAAAUAAAAUAAUAUAUUUGCAAAUUA